Molecule: ribosomal RNA, 913 nt
Filed under: uncultured compost archaeon
Lineage: Archaea
Description: bacterial SSU rRNA
Rfam family: Archaeal small subunit ribosomal RNA
Source: RNAcentral
UUCCGGUUGAUCCCGCCGGAGGUCACUGCUAUCGGGGUUCGAUUAAGCCAUGCGAGUCGAGAGGGUUCAGACCCUCGGCGGACUGCUCAGUAACACGUGGAUAAUCUGCCCUAUGGUGGAGGAUAACCCCGGGAAACUGGGGAUAAUACUCCAUAAGUCAGGAGUACUGGAAUGUCUCCUAACUGAAAGUUGCGGCGCCAUAGGAUGAAUCUGCGGCCGAUUAGGUAGUUGUUGGGGUAACGGCCCAACAAGCCCGUAAUCGGUACGGGUUGUGGGAGCAAGAGCCCGGAGAUGGAAUCUGAGACACGAUUCCAGGCCCUACGGGGCGCAGCAGGCGCGAAAACUUUACAAUGCAGGAAACUGUGAUAAGGGAACCCCGAGUGCCCGUACACGCGGGCUGUCCCGGUGUUUAAAACACAUCGGAAGAAAGGGCCGGGCAGGACCGGUGCCAGCCGCCGCGGUAAUACCGGCGGCUCGAGUGGUGACCACUUUUAUUGGGCUUAAAGCGUUCGUAGCUUGAUUUUUAAGUCUCUUGGGAAAUCUCACGGCUUAACUGUGAGGCGUCUAAGAGAUACUGGGAAUCUAGGGACCGGGAGAGGUAAGAGGUACUUCAGGGGUAGAAGUGAAAUUCUGUAAUCCUUGAGGGACCACCGAUGGCGAAGGCAUCUUACCAGAACGGCUUCGACAGUGAGGAACGAAAGCUGGGGGAGCGAACGGGAUUAGAUACCCCGGUAGUCCCAGCCGUAAACUAUGCGCGUUAGGUGUGCCUGUAACUACGAGUUACCGGGGUGCCGAAGUGAAAACGUGAAACGUGCCGCCUGGGAAGUACGGUCGCAAGGCUGAAACUUAAAGGAAUUGGCGGGGGAGCACCACAACGGGUGGAGCCUGCGGUUUAAUUGGAUUCAACGCCGGG